Molecule: ribosomal RNA, 429 nt
Filed under: Chloroflexota bacterium
Lineage: Bacteria; Bacillati; Chloroflexota
Description: Chloroflexi bacterium partial 16S ribosomal RNA
Rfam family: Bacterial small subunit ribosomal RNA
Source: RNAcentral
UGGGGAAUAUUGCACAAUGGGCGCAAGCCUGAUGCAGCCAUGCCGCGUGUAUGAAGAAGGCCUUCGGGUUGUAAAGUACUUUCAGUCGGGAGGAAGGUGGUAAGGUUAAUAACCUUAUCAAUUGACGUUACCGACAGAAGAAGCACCGGCUAACUCCGUGCCAGCAGCCGCGGUAAUACGGAGGGUGCAAGCGUUAAUCGGAAUUACUUGGCGUAAAGCGCACGCAGGCGGUUGAUUGAGUCAGAUGUGAAAUCCCCGGGCUUAACCCGAGAAUUGCAUCUGGUACUGGUCAGCUAGAGUCUUGUAGAGAGGGGUAGAAUUCAAUGUGUAGCGGUGAAGUGCGUAGAGAUGUGGAGGAAUACCGGUCGCGAAGGCGGCCCCCUGGACAAAGACUGACGAUCAGGUACGAAAGCGUGGGGAGCAAACAGG